CCCACACAGUCGUCCCAAAAAAGACAGAGCUUCCAGACAGCAACUCUGGCUUCCUUAAAAAAUGAUUCUCAUUUCUGAAAACGCGGAGUACCUACUAAGUGCCAGUGCCACUGCCAGCGCCGAAAGAUCCCUGGAAUUCCCACACAGCUCCUCCCUCCCAGAGCUCUCGGUGUAGCUAGGGAGGUAGGGAAGCGCUCCCGUGACUCAGCCCCGGCACGAUGUGGAAAUGAAGUUUAAACAAGGGGCACCUAAGAACAGAGAGAUUAAUUCUGCUUUGAGAGGAAACUAGGGCCAGAAGAGGGCAAACGCAAUGUCAAAUCAGUUUCAGAAGCAUCUGCCAUAUAUGACAUUUAGGAGUAAAGAGCCCUGCCUGAGCCUCCUCCCCGUGGAUUUUCCUGCUGUGUUCGCACUGUGUGCUGUGCUGCCAUGGGUGUUUCUCCCAUCGACCCGCUCAUCGCACCGCCCGUGAGUUGUCCUUCAUGGUCGCACUGCAGCCUCAGGAGCUUUACAAUGUCUGGGACACAGUAGAGGUCAAUGAAGUUCUGUUGAGCACCAUAUCCAACCCCAGUGCACCUGCUUGCUCCACCGGGCUUCCCCGAGACCUGCCCCACAAAGUGCCAGGGAGACUGUUCGCACCGCGCUUACCCGCCACCCAAUCUGGGCAUUCUGGUUUGGUGAGCGACAGGAGACCCAAGAAGAGCCCUGACUGAGCCCGUUUCUCCCAGCUGCAUCCCUGUGCAAAGGACGGGGAAGUCCUCUCUGCAACCCUGUGAAUAAGCACAGGUCUCUCACUGCUAGACUGGCACACGAGACAAUCUGAUGCUUUUUGCUGCAUCCCUCUGCUACGAUGAACCCAGGGCCUGCCUGGCAUGUUGCGGCUGCUCAGCAAACAUUGCUGGGCUUCUUCGCUUGUGCACCAGGAGUGAGUCAGCCCCAGGGCCUCAGCCUGAGGACUGAGGAGAAGGCUCCUCUCCUUCUCGGCCCUGCUUGACCUCUGGCUCCACUCUCUUCCCCAGUCAUGACGGCUAACGAGUGUCUAAUAAGUCUCUGAAUUCAGCUCUCCAGUGGAUUAAGAUGGAGUCAAUUUUGUUGUCAUUCGCCCAGUGGAGAGGUGGAGUUUUUUUUCCUCCCUUGGUUGUGGUUGGGCCCUGUGACUGUUUUAACAAAUAGAAGGCGGCAGAGGUGCCACUGUGCCACUUUCAGGCCUAAGCUUAAGAAGAGCUGGCAGCCUUUGCUUUUGUACGCUGAGGAGCCCUGAGCUGCCACGUACGAAGUCAGCUACACUGAUGAGGAGAGCAGGUAGAGCAGCCACAUGGAGAGGGAGAGACCUCAAGACUACAUGGAGAGAGCUGCCAUCCCAGCGUCCCAGCUGAGCCCAGCCUUCCAGCCACCACGGCCAAGGCGCCAGACAUGCCAGGGAGCCAUCUUGGAUUUUGCAGCUGAUGGAGUCUGAAGAGGACUGUGGCACAGCCAGUGACAUGGAGAGCAGAAGAGUUGCCCAGCUGAGCCAAGUCAACCCACAGAAUGAGGAGAGAAAAUAGAAUGGCUGUUUUUUGAAGCUUAUCAAAGCUGGCUCC
RNAcentral lists this long non-coding RNA (1577 nucleotides) under Equus caballus (horse). Its description in RNAcentral is "lncRNA (ENSECAG00000058282.1)". Lineage: Eukaryota; Metazoa; Chordata; Mammalia; Perissodactyla; Equidae. The record is from RNAcentral.